AGGACGAACGCUGGCGGCGUGCUUAACACAUGCAAGUCGAGCGAUGAAGUUCCUUCGGGAACGGAUUAGCGGCGGACGGGUAAGUAACACGUGGGUAACCUGCCUCAUAGAGGGGAAUAGCCUUUCGAAAGGAAGAUUAAUACCGCAUAAGAUUGUAGUGCCGCAUGGCAUAGCAAUUAAAGGAGUAAUCCGCUAUGAGAUGGACCCGCGUCGCAUUAGCUAGUUGGUGAGGUAACGGCUCACAAAGGCGACGAUGCGUAGCCGACCUGAGAGGGUGAUCGGCCACAUUGGAACUGAGACACGGUCCAGACUCCUACGGGAGGCAGCAGUGGGGAAUAUUGCACAAUGGAGGAAACUCUGAUGCAGCAACGCCGCGUGAGUGAUGAAGGUCUUCGGAUUGUAAAGCUCUGUCUUCUGGGA
RNAcentral lists this ribosomal RNA (420 nucleotides) under uncultured bacterium. Its description in RNAcentral is "bacterial SSU rRNA". It matches the Rfam family "Bacterial small subunit ribosomal RNA", at positions 26 to 445 of the family's 1533-position model. The record is from RNAcentral.